CGCGUAGGUAACCUGCCUGGUAGCGGGGGAUAACUAUUGGAAACGAUAGCUAAUACCGCAUAAUAGCAGUUGUUGCAUGACAACUGUUUGAAAGGUGCAAUUGCACCACUACCAGAUGGACCUGCGUUGUAUUAGCUAGUUGGUGGGGUAACGGCUCACCAAGGCGACGAUACAUAGCCGACCUGAGAGGGUGAUCGGCCACACUGGGACUGAGACACGGCCCAG
This 225-nucleotide ribosomal RNA is filed under the name uncultured bacterium. RNAcentral describes it as "partial 16S ribosomal RNA". It matches the Rfam family "Bacterial small subunit ribosomal RNA", at positions 114 to 334 of the family's 1533-position model. The record is from RNAcentral.